This is a non-coding RNA of Schistosoma rodhaini, 78 nucleotides long. NCBI's taxonomy places the organism in Eukaryota, Metazoa, Platyhelminthes, Trematoda, Strigeidida, Schistosomatidae. The record is from Rfam.
AGAUUUUCGAAUCCAUGCAGAGAUUUCAUCAAACACCAACCCAUUAGGGCUGAUCAGACUUUCAGGAUAAAUAAAGUU